RNAcentral lists this ribosomal RNA (130 nucleotides) under uncultured bacterium. RNAcentral describes it as "partial 16S ribosomal RNA". The record is from RNAcentral.
UGGUACCGUCAAAUAAUACGGGUAUUAACCGUAGUACACUUCUUCCCAUCUGACAGAGCUUUACGACCCAAGGCCUUCCUCACUCACGCGGCGUCGCUGCGUCAGGGUUUCCCCCAUUGCGCAAUAUUCC